Molecule: long non-coding RNA, 211 nt
Filed under: Nicotiana benthamiana
Lineage: Eukaryota; Viridiplantae; Streptophyta; Magnoliopsida; Solanales; Solanaceae
Description: long non-coding RNA (NBEN_LNC000342)
Source: RNAcentral
UUUACAGACCGAGCCUCUUAGGUCGUAGAUAAGUAGUUGAGCCUUUCUUCAAACCAGGCAUUGAAACUUGUUGCUGCUCUUUUGCUCUCUUUUCCCUCUCCUUCUCCUUGCUUCUUCUUUCAGCCUCAGCCUGGACCAUCCUUAACUUUUCCAUUUCUUCCUCCAUGGCAGUUUUCUCUUCUUUCUGUUUCUUUUUAUGUUCCUGCAUUGA